CCGGCGCACGGGUGAGUAACACGUAUCCAACCUGCCGUCUACUCUUGGACAGCCUUCUGAAAGGAAGAUUAAUACAAGAUGGCAUCAUGAGUCCGCAUGUUCACAUGAUUAAAGGUAUUCCGGUAGACGAUGGGGAUGCGUUCCAUUAGAUAGUAGGCGGGGUAACGGCCCACCUAGUCUUCGAUGGAUAGGGGUUCUGAGAGGAAGGUCCCCCACAUUGGAACUGAGACACGGUCCAAACUCCUACGGGAGGCAGCAGUGAGGAAUAUUGGUCAAUGGGCGCAGGCCUGAACCAGCCAAGUAGCGUGAAGGAUGACUGCCCUAUGGGUUGUAAACUUCUUUUAUAAAGGAAUAAAGUCGGGUAUGUAUACCCGUUUGCAUGUACUUUAUGAAUAAGGAUCGGCUAACUCCGUGCCAGCAGCCGCGGUAAUACGGAGGAUCCGAGCGUUAUCCGGAUUUAUUGGGUUUAAAGGGAGCGUAGAUGGAUGUUUAAGUCAGUUGUGAAAGUUUGCGGCUCAACCGUAAAAUUGCAGUUGAUACUGGAUAUCUUGAGUGCAGUUGAGGCAGGCGGAAUUCGUGGUGUAGCGGUGAAAUGCUUAGAUAUCACGAAGAACUCCGAUUGCGAAGGCAGCCUGCU
RNAcentral lists this ribosomal RNA (637 nucleotides) under uncultured Bacteroidales bacterium. RNAcentral describes it as "bacterial SSU rRNA". It matches the Rfam family "Bacterial small subunit ribosomal RNA", at positions 95 to 730 of the family's 1533-position model. The record is from RNAcentral. Lineage: Bacteria; Pseudomonadati; Bacteroidota; Bacteroidia; Bacteroidales.